GCCUCUGGCUGAACAUGGCACAAUGGGUUAGUGCGCCUGGCUGUUAAGCGGAAGGUUGGUGGUUCAAGCCCACCCAAGGAGGGCU
Podarcis lilfordi (Lilford's wall lizard) is the source of this 85-nucleotide non-coding RNA. Lineage: Eukaryota; Metazoa; Chordata; Lepidosauria; Squamata; Lacertidae. The record is from the annotation of a GenBank genome assembly.